ACCAGAUGGACACUAAAUAACCUUCUUUCAUUUGUAUAACUUAAGGUGACUGUUGCUUCUCAUACUUUGCAACAGCAACAACUCUUUUGACAAGUGCAGUCAGAUUAGUCUGUCCAGCACUGGCCACUGUGUAGACCCAGAAGACAAGAGGGAGCCUGCAUUGAUUAUCAGUGUUUCAGCAAAGUCCAUUGUCAAAAAUGUGUCUGGUGUUGAAGAAGGAAAGCAGAGACACUCACAGAGGGUCUGAAGUUCAGCUGCCCCGUGGCUUUCCCGUGACCCCAGCUCACAGCUGCUGUCUGAAGUGAC
Molecule: long non-coding RNA, 306 nt
Filed under: Junco hyemalis (dark-eyed junco)
Lineage: Eukaryota; Metazoa; Chordata; Aves; Passeriformes; Passerellidae
Description: lncRNA (ENSJHYG00000017221.1)
Source: RNAcentral